UACGUAGGUGGCAAGCGUUGUCCGGAUUUACUGGGUGUAAAGGGCGUGUAGCCGGGUCGGCAAGUCAGAUGUGAAAUCUGGAGGCUCAACCUCCAAACUGCAUUUGAAACUGCCGGUCUUGAGUAUCGGAGAGGUAAUCGGAAUUCCUUGUGUAGCGGUGAAAUGCGUAGAUAUAAGGAAGAACACCAGUGGCGAAGGCGGAUUACUGGACGACAACUGACGGUGAGGCGCGAAAGCGUGGGGAGCAAACAGG
RNAcentral lists this ribosomal RNA (253 nucleotides) under Oscillibacter ruminantium GH1. RNAcentral's name for it is "partial 16S ribosomal RNA". It matches the Rfam family "Bacterial small subunit ribosomal RNA", at positions 524 to 776 of the family's 1533-position model. The record is from RNAcentral. Lineage: Bacteria; Bacillati; Bacillota; Clostridia; Eubacteriales; Oscillospiraceae.